UUCAAAUCAGAGCGUGCACCCCUGGUUGACAACAACAAACUGAGAUGUAGUAAGGAGAAGUUUGGCCACAACAAAUUAAAGUGACCUGUAUAAACUGCAAGCACCAGUCAGAGAAAUGUGUCCAAGGCACCAAGCAUUCUUGGUGAGGAUCCAUCCUCCAUUGAGGCUCACGUGAAGGUCUUGCACAGCCAGUACCAGAAGAUGCAACCAGACACCAUGAUUGUAUGAGACCAAAUGCAGCAAACCUUUGCAUGACGGCAAAAGGAGAUUGCAGAUGGCAUGACUGUGAAGGACACAAUUAAGAAGUACCCUUUCUUAAGGACACUCACCGGGUUGUUUGAUGAGUUGGAAGGUAUCCAUCCAGCAAGGGGAAACGUGUGUCAGUGAUUCAAUGAAGGCUUCAACUGUAUUGUACCAAAGGUGCUUGAUCUGGCUCAAGGGGAAUCCCCGCUAUCCCAACUCUACCUGGAGGCAAGAGAAGAGGCUCUCACUGAGGAUC
This is a long non-coding RNA of Siniperca chuatsi (mandarin fish), 499 nucleotides long. RefSeq lists it as uncharacterized. NCBI's taxonomy places the organism in Eukaryota, Metazoa, Chordata, Actinopteri, Centrarchiformes, Sinipercidae. The record is from RefSeq and is a predicted model, not a curated record. The transcript has 3 exons.